UACGAAGGGGGCUAGCGUUGUUCGGAAUCACUGGGCGUAAAGGGCGCGUAGGCGGCCGAUCAAGUCGGGGGUGAAAGCCUGUGGCUCAACCACAGAAUUGCCUUUGAUACUGUUUGGCUUGAGACCGGAAGAGGUUAGUGGAACUGCGAGUGUAGAGGUGAAAUUCGUAGAUAUUCGCAAGAACACCAGUGGCGAAGGCGGCUGACUGGUCCGGUUCUGACGCUGAGGCGCGAAAGCCAGGGGAGCGAACGGG
This 253-nucleotide ribosomal RNA is filed under the name uncultured bacterium. RNAcentral describes it as "partial 16S ribosomal RNA". It matches the Rfam family "Bacterial small subunit ribosomal RNA", at positions 524 to 776 of the family's 1533-position model. The record is from RNAcentral.